This 72-nucleotide transfer RNA is filed under the name archaeon. RNAcentral describes it as "tRNA-Ala". It matches the Rfam family "tRNA". Rfam says of the family: Transfer RNA (tRNA) molecules are approximately 80 nucleotides in length. Their secondary structure includes four short double-helical elements and three loops (D, anti-codon, and T loops). The record is from RNAcentral.
GGGCGCUUAGCUCAGGGGUAGAGCGCAUGCUUCGCAUGCUUGAGGUCGAGGGUUCAAUUCCCUCAGUGUCCA